Molecule: ribosomal RNA, 361 nt
Filed under: Salmonella enterica subsp. arizonae serovar 18:z4,z23:- str. CVM N20028
Lineage: Bacteria; Pseudomonadati; Pseudomonadota; Gammaproteobacteria; Enterobacterales; Enterobacteriaceae
Description: bacterial LSU rRNA
Rfam family: Bacterial large subunit ribosomal RNA
Source: RNAcentral
GUGACUGCGUACCUUUUGUAUAAUGGGUCAGCGACUUAUAUUCUGUAGCAAGGUUAACCGUAUAGGGGAGCCGGAGGGAAACCGAGUCUUAAUUGGGCGUUAAGUUGCAGGGUAUAGACCCGAAACCCGGUGAUCUAGCCAUGGGCAGGUUGAAGGUUGGGUAACACUAACUGGAGGACCGAACCGACUAAUGUUGAAAAAUUAGCGGAUGACCUGUGGCUGGGGGUGAAAGGCCAAUCAAACCGGGAGAUAGCUGGUUCUCCCCGAAAGCUAUUUAGGUAGCGCCUCGUGAAUUCAUCUCCGGGGGUAGAGCACUGUUUCGGCCAGGGGGCCAUCCCGGCUUACCAACCCGAUGCAAACU